Pangasianodon hypophthalmus (striped catfish) is the source of this 495-nucleotide long non-coding RNA. RefSeq lists it as uncharacterized. Lineage: Eukaryota; Metazoa; Chordata; Actinopteri; Siluriformes; Pangasiidae. The transcript is spliced from 2 exons. The record is from RefSeq and is a predicted model, not a curated record.
CACAACUACAUACACACUGUUUAACCCCUGACCAGUGUGGAGAGUCCUGAAUGUUGUGAAUCUGAUGUAUCUACAUUGUUCUCACUGACUUUAUAGUGGUCAGAUGAUAGGAGAUCCUGAGGAAGUGGAUGAAGACCGGAUGAAACACUCACCCAAUUAAAACGUCGAAUUAUUUUCAAGACCAUCUCAGAAAAGACUCAUACCAAAACUAUGAACAGAACCAAAAGCCAUAAAUUGGGAAUGCUGGAUGGAAAAACCAUAUGGCUAAUGAAAUGAAACUCCUAGCGACAAGCAGAUGUAGUGAUUUGUUACAGUAAUUUUAGUAGCAUUCAGAUUCAUGAGCUUAAAGACCUGUGGCAUAUGGGGAAUGCUUAUAACCCACAUAUAACUAAGGCUUGUAGCUUUCCCAGGCUCUUUAUCAGCUGGAUUGGCCCAUUCUCUGUGUCAGGCCAAAUAGAAGGCAUGCAAUGAAGUUACAUAAACUCUUUGAAAAUA